GUCUCGUUGUGGGAUUAAUUCCAUACAUUCAUGGAUGAAGUAAAGCUUUGAAAAGUCGAAGUGCAAAUUUGCACCAGUGUGGUGAGUGUAUGACCUUAAAGGGAGUGUGGUGUCUUCUAAAUCAAAAUAAAAUAAAAUGAUAAUUUUAAAGUGAUGAUAAUAAUGAGAAAACAAAAUCAAACGUGAUAGUAAAAACGUGUUAGAAAAAAUCUGCGGAAUUAGAAAAUCUAAAAUUUAUUCAUUUUUUGAUAAAGUGUUGAAAAAGUCGUUUGACAAAAUAUGAUUGUCUGAAAAGAAGAAUUUUGAAAAAGAGCAACAUUUAAACAGGAUAUCGAAUUUGAUUUUGAUUCCAACGAUGAUAAUAUCCACGGUGUUACCUUGAAACCGGUCGGACUCCAAUCAACGAAUCGUAUGGAAGGUUUGCCUUUCAAUGCUGUUAUGGCGUUAUUUACUUCGGUGGGAUUUACAUCACCGCGAUAUAACAAGCAGCAACUCAUAUACGCGCCUUUGCGUGGAUCGCAUUUGACCAUCUAUAAAAUCAAAUUGAUAAAAUGAUAUUUUUGAGAAUAUCUGAGAACGAUAUAAUUGAGAAAUAAUAUGGAAACUGGAGAGUGUAGCGUUGUAGCGAAAAUCGACCAAAAAGUUCUGAGCUUCGGCAUCGUCAUGCUUUUUAACAUUAUUUUUUUUCUGAUUCAGCAAAACAGGCGGCGCAAAACCCAUGGAAACCCACGAGGGCCAUGGAAAAAAACCAGAGUCCAUGACUGAUCCAUAUCACAUUGUAACCAUCGUUUAGAAAAAUUGAACUAAAAAAAAAUAUCUUAAAAUGCCUCAUAAUCGAUUUUUUCUAUGAUAUUGUCCCUUCUACGGGCAAUUUAUUUUUUGUAAGUCGAAACCUACGACCCGAGAACGACCCGAAUCUUUUGUGUCUCAUAAAAUGUUUUUCGUAUGUCGUAGAUGGGUUUAAUUUGAAGAUGGAAGUUCUGUGGAAAAAACGCAACUUCGAAAAGAUGCGAAAUAUUUAUUUUCAAUAAUUCGGGUCUAGAUUGAAAAAUAAUCGAUUUUUUCUAUGAUUUUGUCCCUUCUACGGGCAAUUUAUUUUUUGUAAGUCGAAACCUACGACCCGAGAACGACCCGAAUCUUUUGUGUCUCAUAAAAUGUUUCUCGUAUGUCGUAGUUGGGUUUAAUUUGAAGAUGGAAGUUCUGUGGAAAAAACGCAACUUCGAAAAGAUGCGAAAUAUUUUUUUUCAAUAAUUCGGGUCUAGAUUGAAAAAAAAAUGUUUUUUUCUUCUAAGAUGAAAUUUUUGCUAUUGGUGUUUGAGAGCUCGAAAAUGAAUGUUAGAGUCAGUCAACGUUUCGAAUCAUAUUUCCGCACGAUUUUUAAACAAUGAAGAUAGUGAAUCAUCAUAAAACGGUGGAAUGAAAAAGUAUGUGUCUAUGAGAGAUCAGCUGACCUGAUUUGCGGGUUCGAAACAUUCGUUCGUAAUCUGAGCCACUGAGAGUUGCGAGCUCAUUGCAUUCUCAGCGGAGAUUACAGGCGCGUAAGUGACAAGAGGAAAAUGAAUUCUAGGGUAUGGGACGAGGUUCGUCUGAAAUUCUUCAAGACUGACAUUGACAGCUCCCUCGAAACGUAACGAGGCUGUGAUAUUCGAGAUUACUUGGGCUUGUAGUCGGUUCAAAUUGGUGUAUGUUGGGCUCUCCACUCCCAAAUUCCUUUCACCAUGAAACAAUGUGGUCUAAUGAAUUUUGUUGUUCGUCUAAUAUCUAGAAAAACUAUUAUUUUGCUCCAUUGCAGUCAGGUGAAAAUGAAAAGUUUAAUGGACCAAUCACACUUGAAAUAUUGAGCUUGACAGCAGAAAGAAACAUUCCAUAAAAAUGAACUUUGUAAAUAGAUCGAAAGAUUAUUUUCACGAGACGUUCAAAUGUGCUGUGGUACCUCGUGCAAGUAUCGUAGAGCGCCUCGUUGUCAACAAUAAAACAACAAUCCUCGAAAUCGAGGGUUCCGUGGGUAGUCAAAACGGAAUUUCCGCAGUCAAUCGUUCGAGCAUCAGAGUUGUGAAGCCACUUCCGGUACCACCGCCGAAGGAUCUUUUUUUUUUUUGGAAUGAAUUGGAGAUUUUGAAAGGCACGAAAAUCAGUCGGAAUCGUUUUAGCACAAUUUUGUGGUUGAGUAUCGUUGACACAGCGUCGAUGUAUUAAAAAUUUUUGUAAAUUAUACCUGAACACAAUAAAUCCGGAUAA
Molecule: long non-coding RNA, 2238 nt
Organism: Venturia canescens
Lineage: Eukaryota; Metazoa; Arthropoda; Insecta; Hymenoptera; Ichneumonidae
Exons: 2
Source: RefSeq, a predicted model, not a curated record